CAGCACAGACCCUGGUGGAACUUUUGGAUGAACAGGAACCACAAACUAGAGAGACUUUACCAUCUUAUUUGAAAGAUGCAAAUGAUGUCCUCAGGAAAUUGGACAACCUGCAACUUGAACCAGACAUGAUACUUGCAACUUGUGACGUUGAGGCUUUAUAUACCUCCAUAAAACACAACGAUGGACUACAAGCAAUCUAUUUAGAAAAAGCACAUCUGCCAAUAUAAUCCUGCAUACAACUUCAGGACACCCCAGACAUCUGAUAAGAAACAUACCUACAGGUCU
This is a long non-coding RNA of Hyla sarda, 285 nucleotides long. RefSeq lists it as uncharacterized. The record is from RefSeq and is a predicted model, not a curated record. The transcript has 3 exons. NCBI's taxonomy places the organism in Eukaryota, Metazoa, Chordata, Amphibia, Anura, Hylidae.